This 282-nucleotide long non-coding RNA is filed under the name Serinus canaria (Common canary). Its description in RNAcentral is "lncRNA (ENSSCAG00000001533.1)". The record is from RNAcentral. Lineage: Eukaryota; Metazoa; Chordata; Aves; Passeriformes; Fringillidae.
UGAAACUGAAGAUGCAGAAAAGAGCAAGCAAGAAGUCAGCUUCAAGGUUCUGAACCUCAUGGUCUUCAGUGCUCAUGAAAUGGUACUUUGAGAAUCAUGUGCUUGGUCCUUUGCUACCCUUUGAGCACAGCCCAGACCUUUGAGAAUACCAAGAUGAAGACAAAGAAUAAUUCCAAUGAGUAUUUCAGAGAUUUUGCUGUCAGAUGCUUUUCUGCUUUCACACAGGCUCAAUCCUGACAUGACUGUUGACUUCAGUGAAGGUAAGAUGAUUUACUUGUUUUG